GAUGGGCGUGCGCCUGAUUAGGUAGUUGGCGGAGUAACAGCCCACCAAGCCUACGAUCAGUAACUGGUGUGAGAGCACGACCAGUCACACGGGCACUGAGACACGGGCCCGACUCCUACGGGAGGCAGCAGUAAGGAAUAUUGGUCAAUGGACGCAAGUCUGAACCAGCCAUGCCGCGUGGAGGAUGAAGGUCCUCUGGAUUGUAAACUUCUUUUAUCGGAGAAGAAACCCCGACAUUCUUGUUGGGUUGACGGUACCCGAUGAAUAAGCACCGGCUAACUCCGUGCCAGCAGCCGCGGUAAUACGGAGGGUGCAAGCGUUAUCCGGAUUCACUGGGUUUAAAGGGUGCGUAGGUGGGCUAGUAAGUCCGUGGUGAAAUCUCCAAGCUUAACUUGGAAACUGCCGUGGAUACUAUUAGUCUUGAAUAUUGUGGAGGUAAGCGGAAUAUGUCAUGUAGCGGUGAAAUGCUUAGAUAUGACAUAG
RNAcentral lists this ribosomal RNA (483 nucleotides) under uncultured Bacteroidota bacterium. RNAcentral's name for it is "bacterial SSU rRNA". It matches the Rfam family "Bacterial small subunit ribosomal RNA", at positions 224 to 704 of the family's 1533-position model. The record is from RNAcentral. Lineage: Bacteria; Pseudomonadati; Bacteroidota.